Molecule: long non-coding RNA, 246 nt
Filed under: Drosophila guanche
Lineage: Eukaryota; Metazoa; Arthropoda; Insecta; Diptera; Drosophilidae
Source: RNAcentral
CUCUUCUGUCCCGGCUUCAAAAAUCAAUAGCCUACUUUACGCCAAAUUUACUGCCCAAAAGGCCAACGAGUGAGCAUUGCUUGCUGCUGCUUCAGCUGCUGCUUCUACGGGUUCUGUGUUUUCCACUCAAUUGAAUUCUUGAAGUAGUUUUAGGGGUAUAUGCUGGUAAUUCUCUUUGUCUCUCUCUCUCUCUCUUUUCAUUCUGUCUCCUCUGAUUAGCGUAAAAAAGUUUUGAGCCCAAUGACA